UAGGGAAUCUUCGGCAAUGGGGGGAACCCUGACCGAGCAACGCCGCGUGAGUGAAGAAGGUUUUCGGAUCGUAAAGCUCUGUUGUUAAGGAAGAACGAGUGUGAGAAUGGAAAGUUCAUACUGUGACGGUACUUAACCAGAAAGGGACGGCUAACUACGUGCCAGCAGCCGCGGUGAUACGUAGGUCCCGAGCGUUGUCCGGAUUUAUUGGGCGUAAAGCGAGCGCAGGCGGUCAAUUAAGUCUGAUGUGAAAGCCCCCGGCUCAACCGGGGAGGGUCAUUGGAAACUGGUUGACUUGAGUGCAGAAGAGGAGAGUGGAAUUCCAUGUGUAGCGGUGAAAUGCGUAGAUAUAUGGAGGAACACCAGUGGCGAAGGCGACUCUCUGGUCUGUAACUGACGCUGAGGCUCGAAAGCGUGGGUAGCAAACAGG
Molecule: ribosomal RNA, 430 nt
Filed under: Bacteroidota bacterium
Lineage: Bacteria; Pseudomonadati; Bacteroidota
Description: Bacteroidetes bacterium partial 16S ribosomal RNA
Rfam family: Bacterial small subunit ribosomal RNA
Source: RNAcentral